RNAcentral lists this ribosomal RNA (447 nucleotides) under uncultured bacterium. Its description in RNAcentral is "partial 16S ribosomal RNA". It matches the Rfam family "Bacterial small subunit ribosomal RNA", at positions 329 to 793 of the family's 1533-position model. The record is from RNAcentral.
AACCAGACUCCUACGGGAGGCAGCAGUGGGGAAUAUUGCACAAUGGGGGAAACCCUGAUGCAGCGACGCCGCGUGAGCGAUGAAGUAUUUCGGUAUGUAAAGCUCUAUCAGCAGGGAAGAAAAUGACGGUACCUGACCAAGAAGCCCCGGCUAACUACGUGCCAGCAGCCGCGGUAAUACGUAGGGGGCAAGCGUUAUCCGGAUUCACUGGGCGUAAAGGGAGCGCAGGCGGCACGGCAAGUCUGGUGUGAAAGCCCGGGGCCCAACCCCGGGACUGCAUUGGAAACUGCCGGGCUGGAGUGCCGGAGGGGUAAGCGGAAUUCCUGGUGUAGCGGUGAAAUGCGCAGAUAUCAGGAAGAACACCGGUGGCGUAGGCGGCUUACUGGACGGCAACUGACGCUGAGGCUCGAAAGCGUGGGGAGCAAACAGGAUUAGAUACCCGUGUAC